Long non-coding RNA from Oncorhynchus tshawytscha (Chinook salmon), 2802 nucleotides. The record is from Ensembl. NCBI's taxonomy places the organism in Eukaryota, Metazoa, Chordata, Actinopteri, Salmoniformes, Salmonidae.
GGCUAUUAUGCGUUAGCCGAUUUACUUUCAUUUUCAUAUUUGCAACUACCAAAAAAAUGGAGACCGGACUACGAGAGAGGGCAGAAUUGUUUUUGCUGACUGAAGACAGUUUUAGGAUGAAUGCCUACAAUAUCAUCUGUGAAAUGGACAAACUACACGUAACUAAGGAAUAUGUGGAUGAGGUAUGCAUGUACCCCUUUGAAGACAAAGGUAAAACAAGUUUCAGGUUGGAUAUUCGAUGGAUAUUCACCUGCAGUUUUCCUUACGUCCACCUACAGCAGUUAGGGACCGUCAACAUAGUGAUAAAUCACAUUUUUGACAUUUCAAUAGCUCUUUAACCAUUACUCCUAAAACUUUCAAAACUGGUUCUAGCUAAUUUGAUGACAUAGACACACAUUGCGCACACUUUUUUUUGUAGGUUUACAUCUCGCACUAUUUUAAAUUCAUUAUUUACAUUUUUGAAUUUCAAUAGCUCUUUGGUCAUGUGACUUACUGACUUCAAACAAGGUUCAGAAUGUACACUCAGUGGCCCUACGCAAUGCACACCCUUUAGUUUGUCCAUUUUAAACUCACACGUUUUUACAUGAAUUUUUCUAACUUUCAAAUGUCAAUAGCUCCUUGGUCAUGUGACCUACUGACUUCAAACAAGGUUCAGAAUUGUCCAUUUUAAUCUCACCAGAUUUUACAUUAAUUUGCCUGCUCUGCCCCCCUGAAGGACAGUGUCACUCACACACCUAUUCACUUGGGCCUUCUCCCUGGGGCCUUUCUGACCUCCAGGCAGGCCCCCAUUGACCUGGUGACCUCUGACUCCUGACCUCUAGGCCUACACUCCCUGCCCGCCUGCCUGCCCUGGGCCUGAGAGUGUAUAGCUUACUCCCUGGAACUACAGACCUCCAUACCUACUCUCCCUACCCGGUCAACACCCCCUCUUGGUCUUAGAGUAUAGCUUACUCCCUGGAAUUACUAAGACAUCUAUAGUCCCGCUGUCAGGAACCACGUGCACCUGGUAACCCGUAACAGGCUCUGUGCAUCUGGUAACCCGUAACAGGCUCUGUGUACCUGGUAACCCAUAACAGGCUCUGUGGUUCUGGUGACCUGCCCGCUUUUUUCUGCUCACAGACUAAGUCCCCACUCCAACCUCCAUGGCCUGAGUGCUGCCCCCAGCCCCUGAUUAACGUCCGGUGGUAUCAUCAGAGGCUUUUCUGUCUUACAAACUGGACAUCAGUUGCCGCUACAAACCUUCAGCUGACUUUGACUGUUGUUUUUACACCCAAUCGACAUCAAGUACCAGCGCAAUACUUAUAAGCUUGAGGACCAAAUACCCCUCGCUGUAUCUAGCGGCACCAUCAACCGGGUGUCAGAAGAAGCAACAGAAAAUAAUCCUCCCCUUUCAAUCAUUUGCUUUCCCAGUCAGCCCAGAACCAUAGGAACCACCUUUACCAGCGCUUCAUCGAUAUUCCUCACUUUGACAUGAGGGGGUCACAGUCACCCAACGGGUGAUUUGAGUGUUACUGUGACAGGUCGGAACGCUCCUUUGAAUUUGAAUUUCAAGUUGACAUUCAUUGAUCCAUGCCCAGUGGGAACCUAGGCUUCUUCCGUCAAUUUUAUGGAUCCGCAGCAAAUCGAUGAGUGUGGAUGGUACUACCCACAUCAGAUGUAGGCCCCCUCCCCAGACAAGCUGGAGAUACCUCUCCCCACUUCGUAGGGCAUGAGCCAGAUCCAUGCAAUGCCCUAUCACUGCGGGCCAAUGGGUUUAGUCUCCGCCUCAAGUGUAGUGAGCGUAGAGGAGACCUCCCCACCUACGGUGCUCGUUGGUGUGGGGGCGGCGAGCACCGUAGCUGGGGAGAUCCGCGAGAAGGGCCUGGCGCGCGUCCAGAGUUGCCGCCACCAACUUCCGGACCCAACUCCCCACCGGUCCGCCUUCAGCCCACCGACGGACACCACCCUGACGAACCCCCGUACACAGCCCCUUGCGAGACCACACACGAGAGACCACGAGAUGGGCCGCACAACGAACUUCCAAUGGUGUCGAGAGGAGGGCGACGGAGCGACUGCUCCCCUUGACGCAGCUUGAGCUAAGCCCCACUUCGCACCCCAGCCCGACCGACCCAGCCCUUAGAGCUCUCUUCUACCCCUAAGCCAUAAGACUACUGAACAUCUAAUCAAAUGACUACCCAGACCUUUCACUGUAAGGUCUACACCUGGUGUAUUUGGCGCAUGUGACAAAUGCAAUUUGAUUUGAUUUGAUUAAACUUGCCAGUCUAUGUCAUGGAAAGAGCAGGUGUACAUUAUAUUUUGUACACUCCGUGUCUAUGUUAACAUAUUUUCUGCUGUCUGCUCCCCAUAGGCAGGGUCUAUAAUAGACUCUCCCUGCUCAUGUACAGGUAAUAAAGUAGCUAAAUACAUGAAUGAAUAAAUAUAUACAGUUGUGUGAAAUGCAGUGGAUGAUUUUAAUGCAACAGUGAAGACUUCAAACGGGAGAACAACGAUUAAUUAUUUUAGUUAAUUCAGGCUGAUUCUCACAGAGCUGCUAGGGUGCACCUCAAUAGUCUACAGUAGCUUCAUGCUUUCUCUCCUCAUCACCUUUCCCAGCUUUGCUGUUGAACCCCUAACUUUAUUGGAUAACAUUUUAGUUUAAAUCUACUUGUAAAUAUGCAUUUAAAAAACAACAACCUAAAAUGACCUCUCAGCACCAAUCUUUUCUGUGCUUGCUUGCCAUUGGUGCCUGUCCCCUGUUGUGUAACAUACGUUUCUGGCUGUGAACAGUCUGAGUAUUUGGCACAUGCUGGUGGAAGGUGGAGA